CGCGGUGGCAAUAGUACGUUGAAUGCACCAGUGUCCAAUGAACCUCUGGAGUUAAGCAACGAAGUGCGUGGUUGGUAUCCGAAUGGGUGACCAUCAAGGUAAUCACGUGCUUUUCCCG
RNAcentral lists this ribosomal RNA (118 nucleotides) under Diaphorina citri (Asian citrus psyllid). The record is from RNAcentral. Lineage: Eukaryota; Metazoa; Arthropoda; Insecta; Hemiptera; Psyllidae.